GUUCACACUUUUUUUCUGUUGACUCCGAGCUAAAAUCAUGGAUUUACAGCCCUCCCCGGAAUUUUUUAGAUGCUUUGUAUGAUUCUAUAAAAAAAAUUGAAAUUGGUAUUUCAAAAUUUUAAUUGAACUCUUAUUUCAAAGAUAAAAUUGACCAGACAAUUGUAACACUUGAAGUUCGUACCAAUUGAGUUGCAGUAAUUUAUUUUCCAAUGACGGAUCUUGUGCUAACUUGGAGCGAACCGAGUUGCAGUAUUUAUCAAAAUCAAGAAAUUUUUUUGGAUUUAUGAGAAAUUCAUUUGAUUCGACAUGAGAAAGUAGAGAGACAUCGACUCAUUCAUAUCUUUAGAACAGGAUUGGUCACUAAUAAGCUCUUCGUCUUCUCAUUCGGAUUUUGUAGUAAUUGGUGCAAGUUUGUUUUCAUUCUUUACCUUUUAUAUUUCUAACAACAAAAUGAUCAAUUUCUAUUCGACGGAAGAGGACUGUGGAAGGAAGUGAUUAUCAAAGUUUAUUUGGUACUAAGGUUUACAUCCAAUUCUGACAAGGUGAAUAAUAAGUAUUAUCUCAAGCCUGCUUCUUUGGAAGAGAUAGUCUGGUAAGGACUUUGGUUCCUUUAUUUCCAGCUCGGGUCUUUACCAAGAUACAAUUGCCGAUGCACUAAAUUUUAUAUCUCUUUUGCAAGCAAAUUGUGACACCUCUAUGUUCAUGGUCCUAUAGGGACAACAAAGGAUACAAUUUCAAAAUGGAUAAGGCUAAGUAUAAUAUUUGUCAUGAAGUGUGGAAAAUUCUUGAAAUCAUGCAUAAACUAUUGAUCUAUGUCUAAAAUGUUUGAUUAUGAAAUUGUCUUAGUAUAAUAGAAGUAACUAAUUAUGCAUAUAUUGUACAUAAACUAUUGGAUAUUGUUUGUUUAAACUUUAGUAUGUAUUAGUAUUUAUUUUAUCUGUCUUGAUGUAAGGAUAAGUCAAUAUUAUUUAAAGGUACUAU
RNA transcript from Solanum stenotomum, 981 nucleotides. It is a transcript of the gene named gamma-glutamylcyclotransferase 2-1-like, with no coding region annotated. The record is from RefSeq and is a predicted model, not a curated record. Lineage: Eukaryota; Viridiplantae; Streptophyta; Magnoliopsida; Solanales; Solanaceae. The transcript is spliced from 3 exons.